This 76-nucleotide small RNA is filed under the name Acidocella sp. MX-AZ02. Its description in RNAcentral is "Makes More Granules Regulator RNA (mmgR)". It matches the Rfam family "Makes More Granules Regulator RNA (mmgR)". From Rfam's summary of the family: SuhB later renamed mmgR (makes more granules regulator) was a putative non-coding RNA found multiple times in the Agrobacterium tumefaciens genome and related alpha-proteobacteria. The record is from Rfam by way of RNAcentral. Lineage: Bacteria; Pseudomonadati; Pseudomonadota; Alphaproteobacteria; Acetobacterales; Acidocellaceae.
GUUUUCUCCCCUGUUUCUUGGACGUUUCCUCCCUAAACUUGGCGGUGCUUUAUGCACCGCCUUUUUUUUACUCUGC